This 411-nucleotide ribosomal RNA is filed under the name uncultured bacterium. Its description in RNAcentral is "bacterial SSU rRNA". It matches the Rfam family "Bacterial small subunit ribosomal RNA", at positions 94 to 541 of the family's 1533-position model. The record is from RNAcentral.
AGUGGCGGACGGGUGAGUAACGCGUGAGUAUCUGCCCAUAGGUGGGGGACAACCAUUGGAAACGAUGGCUAAUACCCCAUAUGCCGAGAGGUGAAAGGUUUACUGCCUGUGGAUGAACUCGCGUCUGAUUAGCUAGUUGGUGGGGUAAUGGCCUACCAAGGCGACGAUCAGUAGCUGGUCUGAGAGGAUGAUCAGCCACACUGGGACUGAGACACGGCCCAGACUCCUACGGGAGGCAGCAGUGGGGAAUUUUCCGCAAUGGGCGAAAGCCUGACGGAGCAACGCCGCGUGAGGGAGGAAUGUCUUUGGAUUGUAAACCUCUUUUCUCAAGGAAGAUAAUGACGGUACUUGAGGAAUCAGCAUCGGCUAACUCCGUGCCAGCAGCCGCGGUAAUACGGGGGAUGCAAGCGU